UUAGUGAUUGACCUUUGGGUCUUAUCUUAACAUCCCAUACCUCUGUGAACCGUUUGACCUCUGGGUCUUACAACUAUACAAACAUCAGUGUAAAGAACGUCUUGUUAUUUUAACAAAAACAAAACUUUCAACAACGGAUCUCUUGGCUCUCGCAUCGAUGAAGAACGCAGCGAAAUGCGAUAAGUAAUGUGAAUUGCAGAAUUCAGUGAAUCAUCGAAUCUUUGAACGCACCUUGCGCCUUUUGGUAUUCCGAAAGGCAUGCCUGUUUGAGUGUCAUGAAAUCUCAAUCCCAUCUGGUUUAUGAUCAGGUGUUGGACUUGGAUAUGGGUGUCUGCCAGUCACAUGGCUCACCUCAAAUGACUUAGUGGGAUCGCUUGCAUCUGUGACAGACGUAAUAAGUUUCGUCUUGUCCUUUGCUUUCAAUAUCCUGCUUACAAUCCUGGACCCUGUACACUUCCGUGUGCUUGGCCAAACCUUUGACUCUGACCUCAAAUCAGGUAGGACUACCCGCUGAACUUAAGCAUAUC
Molecule: ribosomal RNA, 527 nt
Filed under: Cryptococcus sp. DEC1
Lineage: Eukaryota; Fungi; Basidiomycota; Tremellomycetes; Tremellales; Cryptococcaceae
Description: eukaryotic LSU rRNA
Rfam family: 5.8S ribosomal RNA (bases 123-276)
Source: RNAcentral